AUCAGUAAGUAGAGGUCAAACUCUCAUACUUUUUGCAGAUGGCAUGAUACUCUAUGUCGAAAAACCAGAAGACUCCAACCCAAAAUUGUUAGAGCUCAUAUGGGAAUUUAGUAAAGUGAUAGGAUAUAAAAAUCAAUGCACAGAAAUCCGUUGCAUUUCUAUACACUAAAAAUGAGGCAGAAGAAAGAGACAUUAAGGAGUCAAUCUUAUUUAAGGUUGCACCCAAAACCAUAAGAUACCUAGG
This is a long non-coding RNA of Mustela erminea (ermine), 244 nucleotides long. RefSeq lists it as uncharacterized. The record is from RefSeq and is a predicted model, not a curated record. The transcript is spliced from 3 exons. NCBI's taxonomy places the organism in Eukaryota, Metazoa, Chordata, Mammalia, Carnivora, Mustelidae.